RNAcentral lists this ribosomal RNA (254 nucleotides) under uncultured bacterium. RNAcentral describes it as "partial 16S ribosomal RNA". It matches the Rfam family "Bacterial small subunit ribosomal RNA", at positions 524 to 776 of the family's 1533-position model. The record is from RNAcentral.
UACGUAGGGGGCUAGCGUUGUCCGGAUUUAUUGGGCGUAAAGAGCUCGUAGGUGGUUCGGUAAGUCGGAUGUGAAAUCUCCAGGCUCAACCUGGAGGGGUCAUUCGAUACUGCCGUGACUAGAGUUCGGUAGGGGAGUCUGGAAUUCCUGGUGUAGCGGUGAAAUGCGCAGAUAUCAGGAGGAACACCGGUGGCGAAGGCGGCUAUCUGGACCGACAUUGACGCUGAGGCGCGAAAGCGUGGGGAGCAAACAGG